This 28-nucleotide small RNA is filed under the name Bombyx mori (domestic silkworm). Its description in RNAcentral is "ovarian small RNA-23774". Lineage: Eukaryota; Metazoa; Arthropoda; Insecta; Lepidoptera; Bombycidae. The record is from RNAcentral.
UAUCUGAUCCGACCAACGGUUUGGUGGC